Molecule: transfer RNA, 73 nt
Filed under: Flavobacteriales bacterium
Lineage: Bacteria; Pseudomonadati; Bacteroidota; Flavobacteriia; Flavobacteriales
Also listed under: 1 other name
Description: tRNA-Lys
Rfam family: tRNA
About the family: Transfer RNA (tRNA) molecules are approximately 80 nucleotides in length. Their secondary structure includes four short double-helical elements and three loops (D, anti-codon, and T loops).
Source: RNAcentral
CCGCCCAUAGCUCAGCCGGUAGAGCAGCUCCCUUUUAAGGAGAAGGUCCUAGGUUCGAUUCCUAGUGGGCGGA